AGAGUUUGAUCAUGGCUCAGAUUGAACGCUGGCUGCAUGCUUUACACAUGCAAGUCGAACGGUAACAGGCCGCAAGGUGCUGACGAGUGGCGAACGGGUGAGUAAUGCAUCGGAACGUGCCCAGUCGUGGGGGAUAACGCAGCGAAAGCUGCGCUAAUACCGCAUACGAUCUAUGGAUGAAAGCGGGGGACCGUAAGGCCUCGCGCGAUUGGAGCGGCCGAUGUCAGAUUAGGUAGUUGGUGGGGUAAAGGCUCACCAAGCCAACGAUCUGUAGCUGGUCUGAGAGGACGACCAGCCACACUGGGACUGAGACACGGCCCAGACUCCUACGGGAGGCAGCAGUGGGGAAUUUUGGACAAUGGGCGCAAGCCUGAUCCAGCAAUGCCGCGUGCAGGAAGAAGGCCUUCGGGUUGUAAACUGCUUUUGUACGGAACGAAACGGCUCUGGUUAAUACCUGGGGCUAAUGACGGUACCGUAAGAAUAAGCACCGGCUAACUACGUGCCAGCAGCCGCGGUAAUACGUAGGGUGCAAGCGUUAAUCGGAAUUACUGGGCGUAAAGCGUGCGCAGGCGGUUUUGUAAGACAGGCGUGAAAUCCCCGGGCUCAACCUGGGAAUGGCGCUUGUGACUGCAAAGCUGGAGUGCGGCAGAGGGGGAGGGAAUUCCGCGUGUAGCAGUGAAAUGCGUAGAUAUGCGGAGGAACACCGAUGGCGAAGGCAAUCCCCUGGGCCUGCACUGACGCUCAUGCACGAAAGCGUGGGGAGC
RNAcentral lists this ribosomal RNA (764 nucleotides) under uncultured bacterium. RNAcentral describes it as "bacterial SSU rRNA". It matches the Rfam family "Bacterial small subunit ribosomal RNA", at positions 8 to 769 of the family's 1533-position model. The record is from RNAcentral.